Molecule: ribosomal RNA, 640 nt
Filed under: Chlamydomonas moewusii
Lineage: Eukaryota; Viridiplantae; Chlorophyta; Chlorophyceae; Chlamydomonadales; Chlamydomonadaceae
Description: LSU rRNA
Rfam family: Bacterial large subunit ribosomal RNA
Source: RNAcentral
AAAUGUCCGUCGCAUGCGACGCGACAAAAACCACAAAUGAUACUAGAAAUUAGUAAAGGAAUAUACAUAUGUUUCACUGGGGCGGUGGUUCGUUAAAAAGUAACGCGAGCAAUCAAAGGCUUUGUAAAACCUAAACUAGAAAACAAAGCUUAACUGUAAGGAUCACAAGCCAAGCAGAUGUUCGUCUGGCGUGCGACGCGCUGAAAAGCAGGAAGUAAAGACCCAAUUAAAAUUGUCUUUUAAUUGAUCAACGGAUAAAAGGUACGCUAGGGAUAACAGGCUAGUACGCGCCUAGAGUUCAUAUCGACGCGCGUGUUCGGCACCUCGAUGUUGGAUCAUCGCGUCCUAAAGCUGCACAAGGUUUUAAGGGUUAGGUUGUUCACCUAUUAAAGCGGUACGUGAUCUGAGUUCAGAACGCUGCGAAGCAGUUCGGUUUCUAUCCGUGCUUAGUAAUGUGUGAUAUGUUAAGGAUUAUGAGUACGAAAGGACCAGUAGAUUCUAAACCUCUGGUGAAUUUGUUGUCAAAAAAGGCAUAGCAAAGAAGCUAAGUUUAUAAAAAAGCAUAAAACACAGGUAUAGUAUAUGAUAACAUAUAUGGAUUUGUAAGACUAAAAAGAGAGAUCUUAAAAAAAAGAAGAUA